RNAcentral lists this ribosomal RNA (253 nucleotides) under uncultured bacterium. Its description in RNAcentral is "partial 16S ribosomal RNA". It matches the Rfam family "Bacterial small subunit ribosomal RNA", at positions 524 to 776 of the family's 1533-position model. The record is from RNAcentral.
UACAGAGGGUGCGAGCGUUGUUCGGAAUUACUGGGCGUAAAGCGUGCGCAGGCGGCCAUGCAAGACAGAUGUGAAAUCCCUGGGCUUAACCUAGGAACUGCAUUUGUGACUGCAUGGCUAGAGUACGGUAGAGGGGGAUGGAAUUCCGCGUGUAGCAGUGAAAUGCGUAGAUAUGCGGAGGAACACCGAUGGCGAAGGCAAUCCCCUGGACCUGUACUGACGCUCAUGCACGAAAGCGUGGGGAGCAAACAGG